Molecule: non-coding RNA, 30 nt
Filed under: Rattus norvegicus (Norway rat)
Lineage: Eukaryota; Metazoa; Chordata; Mammalia; Rodentia; Muridae
Source: RNAcentral
CCCAGACCAUGAGCAAACAGAAGAUGCAUA